This 1502-nucleotide ribosomal RNA is filed under the name metagenome. RNAcentral describes it as "bacterial LSU rRNA". It matches the Rfam family "Bacterial large subunit ribosomal RNA", at positions 1429 to 2925 of the family's 2925-position model. The record is from RNAcentral.
CCAAAUAUUCCUGUACCGAUAUGUAGUGCGAUGUGGGGACGGAGAAGGUUAACUCGGCCGGGUGUUGGAUGUCCCGGUUCAAGCGUGUAGUCGUGCUGCCUAGGCAAAUCCGGGCGGCUUAGAUGAGGCGUGAUAACGAGGCGGCUUGCCGCUGAAGUGAGUGAUACCCUGCUUCCAGGAAAAGCCACUAAGCUCUAGCUACAUACGACCGUACCGCAAACCGACACUGGUGCGCGAGAUGAGUAUUCUAAGGCGCUUGAGAGAACUCUGGAGAAGGAACUCGGCAAAUUGACACCGUAACUUCGGAAGAAGGUGUGCCUUUAGUAGGUGAUCCAUUUACUUGGUGAGCCCAAUGAGGCCGCAGAGAAUCGGUGGCUGCGACUGUUUAUUAAAAACACAGCACUCUGCAAAGACGAAAGUCGACGUAUAGGGUGUGACGCCUGCCCGGUGCUGGAAGAUUAAAUGAAGGGGUGCAAGCUCUUGACUGAAGUCCCAGUAAACGGCGGCCGUAACAAUAACGGUCCUAAGGUAGCGAAAUUCCUUGUCGGGUAAGUUCCGACCUGCACGAAUGGCGUAACGAUGGCCACACUGUCUCCUCCAGAGACUCAGCGAAGUUGAAAUGUUUGUGAUGAUGCAAUCUCCCCGCGGAAAGACGGAAAGACCCCAUGAACCUUUACUGUAGCUUUACAUUGGACUUUGAACAGAUCUGUGUAGGAUAGGUGGGAGGCUUUGAAGCGGUGCCGCUAGGUGCCGUGGAGCCAACGUUGAAAUACCACCCUGGUGUGUUUGAGGUUCUAACCUUGGCCCGUUAUCCGGGUUGGGGACAGUGUAUGGUGGGCAGUUUGACUGGGGCGGUCUCCUCCCAAAUCGUGACGGAGGAGUUCGAAGGUACGCUAGGCACGGUCGGAAAUCGUGCUGAUAGUGCAUUGGCAUAAGCGUGCUUGACUGCGAGACUGACAAGUCGAGCAGGUACGAAAGUAGGACAAAGUGAUCCGGUGGUUCUGUAUGGAAGGGCCAUCGCUCAACCGAUAAAAGGUACUCUGGGCAUAACAGGCUGAUACCGCCCAAGAGUUCAUAUCGACGGCGGUGUUUGGCACCUCGAUGUCGGCUCAUCUCAUCCUGGGGCUGUAGCCGGUCCCAAGGGUAUGGCUGUUCGCCAUUUAAAGAGGUACGUGAGCUGGGUUUAAAACGUCGUGAGACAGUUUGGUCCCUAUCUUCCGUGGGCGCUGCAAGAUUGAGAGAGCCUGCUCCUAGUACGAGAGGACCGGAGUGGACGCACCUCUGGUGUAUCGGUUGUCACGCCAGUGGCAUUGCCGAGUAGCUAUGUGCGGAAGAGAUAACCGCUGAAAGCAUCUAAGCGGGAAACUCGUCUCAAGAUGAGUCUUGCCGGGGCCUCGAGCCCCCUGAAGAGUCGUUCUAGACCAGGACGUUGAUAGGCUGGGUGUGGAAGCUGGGUAACCAGUUAAGCUAACCAGUACUAAUUGCUCGUGCGGCUUGACCCU